GAUGAACGCUGGCGGCGUGCCUAAUACAUGCAAGUCGAACGGGGAGUAGCAAUACUCUUAGUGGCGAACGGGUGAGUAACGCGUUGGUACCUGCCCCGAAGCGGGGGAUAACGGACCGAAAGGUCCGCUAAUACCCCAUGUGCUCGGUAACGAGUAAAGGUGAAAACCACUUUGGGAGGGGCCUGCGUCCCACCAGCUAGUUGGUAAGGUAACGGCUUACCAAGGCGAUGACGGGUAGGGGACCUGAGAGGGUGGCCCCCCACAAUGGAACUGAAACACGGUCCAUACACCUACGGGUGGCAGCAGUAGGGAAUAUUGGUAAUGGGCGCAAGCCUGAACCAGCAACGCCGCGUGUGCGAUGACGGCCUUCGGGUUGUAAAGCACUUUUGACUGGGACGAGGAAGGACGGUACCGGUCGAAUCAGCCUCGGCUAACUACGUG
RNAcentral lists this ribosomal RNA (441 nucleotides) under uncultured bacterium. RNAcentral describes it as "partial 16S ribosomal RNA". It matches the Rfam family "Bacterial small subunit ribosomal RNA", at positions 28 to 507 of the family's 1533-position model. The record is from RNAcentral.